AGGACGAACGCUGGCGGCGUGCUUAACACAUGCAAGUCGAGCGGAAAGGCCCUUCGGGGUACUCGAGCGGCGAACGGGUGAGUAACACGUGAGCAACCUGCCCUUAGCUUCGGGAUAGCUCCGGGAAACCGGAAUUAAUACCGAAUAUGACUGCGGCUGACAUCAGCCACGGUGGAAAGUUUUUCGGCUAGGGAUGGGCUCGCGGCCUAUCAGCUAGUUGGUGAGGUAACGGCCCACCAAGGCGACGACGGGUA
RNAcentral lists this ribosomal RNA (254 nucleotides) under uncultured bacterium. Its description in RNAcentral is "partial small subunit ribosomal RNA". It matches the Rfam family "Bacterial small subunit ribosomal RNA", at positions 26 to 285 of the family's 1533-position model. The record is from RNAcentral.